CUAUAGCUGUGAUGCAAGAGGUUGCGACACGCUCGGUUGCAUUGCCACGCAACCACCUGUCGGUUUUCUUGUGGAGCUAGCCUAUUAUCGUAAAUAGACGAGAGGA
Streptococcus sp. DD12 is the source of this 106-nucleotide regulatory RNA element. It matches the Rfam family "S10-Clostridia ribosomal protein leader". Lineage: Bacteria; Bacillati; Bacillota; Bacilli; Lactobacillales; Streptococcaceae. The record is from Rfam.